Molecule: unclassified non-coding RNA, 214 nt
Filed under: uncultured Sebacina
Lineage: Eukaryota; Fungi; Basidiomycota; Agaricomycetes; Sebacinales; Sebacinaceae
Description: sequence contains ITS2
Source: RNAcentral
UAAUCUCGCACUUACUAAUCCUGGUGGAUUAGGGAGUGGUGGACUUGGGUGUUGCUGCGUCACUGUGGCUCAUCUUAAAUGGAGUAGUGCAACUCUUGGUUGAACGUAGAACAGCGUGAUAAGUAUCUUCGCUGGCUCCUCACUCGUAAGAGAGAGGGUGUGCGAUCGGGAGCUCUGUGCUUCAAACUACACUGUCUUUGGACAAUAUUUGACA